RNAcentral lists this ribosomal RNA (669 nucleotides) under Triticum aestivum (bread wheat). RNAcentral's name for it is "partial small subunit ribosomal RNA". Lineage: Eukaryota; Viridiplantae; Streptophyta; Magnoliopsida; Poales; Poaceae. The record is from RNAcentral.
AUGCUGCACAAUGUAUGUAUAAUCAAAUCAAAUACUAUAAUCAAGGGGCCAAUCUCAGUCGCUCGUACUUAUGAACGAAAGAACCAACCCAAGCACUUCCCCCUCGCAUCGCAGACGCUCGCAGCAAUGGAGAGGAAGAUGAGCUCCUCCGGCCGCCACCUCCUCCUCCUCUUCUCAUUGGCGCCCGCCCUCCUCCUCUACCACUUCGCCCUCCGCUCCAUCCAGCCAUUCCUCCGCCUCCCCUUAGCCGCCGACGAUGUGCCGCCCCCGCGAUCGGCGGUGGCUUCGGCCACACGAGUUGCUGGAGACGGAGCUAAUGAUUCGAUGUUGGUGCAAGGUGGAGCGCCAUUAAUGGAGAAAGUGGAAGCGGAGAGAACCCGCUGGCCUGCCAAUUUCUCCAUGCAAGAAGCAGCAAUGGGGGACGCCGCAAGAGGAGCCGUGCAGCCGCCGUGCAACGUCAACGACGGGAGGCGGGUGUGCGACGAGAGCUACCCGCUCUACGACGGCAGUUCCUGCCCGUUCGUCGAGGACGGGUUCAGCCCUAGGCCGCCGACGCCCGACGUUCCUACUGGUACUGCCGGUGCCGCCGCCUCCCUCCUGAUUGGUGAUUUCCUUCUUAAUUCGCCCCUAAUUUCAGUUCCUAGGGCCUCCAUCUGUAAUUCCGUAUAG